GAUGAACGCUGGCGGCGUGCCUAAUACAUGCAAGUCGAGCGAACAGACGAGGAGCUUGCUCCUCUGACGUUAGCGGCGGACGGGUGAGUAACACGUGGAUAACCUACCUAUAAGACUGGGAUAACUUCGGGAAACCGGAGCUAAUACCGGAUAAUAUAUUGAACCGCAUGGUUCAAUAGUGAAAGACGGUUUUGCUGUCACUUAUAGAUGGAUCCGCGCCGCAUUAGCUAGUUGGUAAGGUAACGGCUUACCAAGGCAACGAUGCGUAGCCGACCUGAGAGGGUGAUCGGCCACAAUGGAACUGAGACACGGUCCCGACUCCUAAGGGAGGCAGCAGUAGGGAAUCUUCCGCAAAGGGCGAAAGCCUGAAGGAGCAACGCCGCGUGAGUGAUGAAGGUCUUCGGAUCGUAAAACUCUGUUAUUAGGGAAGAACAAAUGUGUAAGUAACUAUGCACGUCUUGACGGUACCUAAUCAGAAAGCCACGGCUAACUACGUG
RNAcentral lists this ribosomal RNA (497 nucleotides) under uncultured bacterium. Its description in RNAcentral is "partial 16S ribosomal RNA". It matches the Rfam family "Bacterial small subunit ribosomal RNA", at positions 28 to 507 of the family's 1533-position model. The record is from RNAcentral.